Choloepus didactylus (southern two-toed sloth) is the source of this 3417-nucleotide long non-coding RNA. RefSeq lists it as uncharacterized. The record is from RefSeq and is a predicted model, not a curated record. The transcript has 7 exons. Lineage: Eukaryota; Metazoa; Chordata; Mammalia; Pilosa; Megalonychidae.
UGGAAGAGCUGAGCAGUUGCAACCGAGUCCUUUCGGAUCCAGAGAGCCAAUGAUAUUUGCUAUCCAGCCCUCUACAGAAAGGGUUUGCCGACUUCUAGACCUGAGGGCAUCCCAAACAAUCUUUUGAAGGCCUCGUCUGUCCUACCUUCUCCUGCAUCCGGGACAAGUGGACCCAGCCCAUCGCAGUGUGGUGGAGAAACCAAGGCUGAUACUGACGGCAGGUCAUGUUGUUGAUGCAUCGAUUGGUCUCUUCUUCAACACGGAGCAUCUGCCGGCUGAGGUGCCAGGGGGCCAAGGAGGGUUUAAAGAGGAAAGGACUUCUGCCAAAACUCCCCGUCUCCUUUAUCAGUCCCAGUAAUCAUCGUAUUCCACAGAAGAGAAUGACAGCAGAUGAGAACAGCGAGGCCCAGAGAGAUUAGAUGGUUUGUCAUGAAGCCAGUAAGCAGCAGAGCUGGAGUUCAAGUCUGUGCACUCUGCUUCAGAGCCUACGUGCUGCGCCACUACCUUCGACCGUCUCUCAGUGUGACAAAGCCCUGGUGCCGUCCUCAGGGAUGCCACAGCCACAGCUGCCCUGCCGCUGAGGAGUCACCCUUGAAGAGGAAGAAAAAUCCAAGCCUAUGGACUACUUAAAAGAAAACUGAAGCUGAAGAGAGUAAAGAUGCAAAUACCCAGACUGAUGACAUUUGUUAAACACAUUCCCUUAAAUUCUUCUCCAAGGCGCAGAAGCCAUGUCCCACUAGUAAAGAGUGGCUGCAAUUCUCCCUCGCUUUAAAAGUUCAAGGAAAGAAAUCUUCUCUAUGAUGCAAAAUUUACUUUCUCUGUCAUAUCACUUGAGGUAAAAAUUGUCUAGGUGCUCUGCGUGUCACUGUCCCUUUAAACAUGAGAAAUUUGAGAGAUAAAACAAGCACUUAUUUUCUCCACUGCGCACAGAGGUCAAGAUCCAAUGGUGUGUCACAAUCUGCUGUGAGCUCUGUUGAAAGUAAUUUGCUACUAUUUAUAGACCAAAGUUUGCAAAUGAUUUACUUUUGUUGGAAGACGGAGAGAAGUCAAGGGCAUCCCAAAAUGUCACUCCCUCGGCUGUAUUCCGAGAGGCCUUCCUGAGGGGGACAGAGGAGAGACCUUCACCACCGUGGUUUUCAGAGGUAAGGAGGCUGGAACUGCCUCAGAAGACAGUGUGCAGACAACAAAAUGCCCCAUGGCCUGGAAAGCAAGGUGCCUGCCGAAAGUUAAACUGUAAAAAUGCGAGAGGGGUGUGAUCUGAGAAUCGCAAAGUCAUUCCUGAGAGACUCGCAGGCCAGAAUAAUUUUUAACUGAAGACUGAAACAGCUGAAGAAAACACGUGAUCCCCAGACACAGGGGAAAAGAGAGACAGUGCGACAGUGCGACGCACCUCCGAGAGGAAAAGGUAGACGUUUCUCUUGGGGGUUCAGUCGUGCCCCCACAUGUUGCAGUCUUGCUCUGCAUUCCUGUGGGGUGAGCCCGUCUGAGAACAGGACCUUCGAGGGUGUUAUUCUUACUUAAGGUGAGGGCUCCUUUGUGAAUAGGAUGUUCAAAGAUGUUAGUUAGAUGAGGCCAAAUGGAAUCAGGGUGGGCCUUGGAAGGCAGAAGAAAUUCGGGAGCUGCCGGAGAAAGAAGCCAGAGCACAAGGCAGAGCCACUUGACGGAGGCCGAGAUGCAAACCAAGGAACCCCUGGGACUGCAGCCGGCCAACACCAGAAAUGGUGUCGAAAUCUUGAUGCAGGGCUCCCAGCCUCCAAAACUGUAGACGGAUUUCCGCUGUUGAAGCCAACCCAUCCUGUGGUAUCUGACAGAGCAGCCCUGGUAGACCAGGACCGUGAGAAGUGUGUGGGGCCGUGGCCAGGCCAUCCAGGCCUGUCUGUGGGGCCAAGCACACCAGGCCUGAGGCCAUAGACAACCGAAAGGUGAAGAGUCCUCAGUUCUCCUUGGUAUGUUUAGGAAGUGCCUUUCUGAGUCCUAUUUGUGUUUUUAUAUGUAUUUUUUUCCUUCAGAGCGCAAGUGCCCAGGGUUUUUGACAUUUAUAUUUUUAUUAUAAAGUAAUAAAUUUGCAUUCUGGUUUUAUGAGCAACUGAUAUGUGUUGAUCGUCUGUUUUGUUCCAGCAUCUAUGCUGGGCACUAGGUUGUCAGAUAUAGAUGAGGGACUGUCCACUCCUCAAGGAACGUCCCUGUGAAGUUAACAAACAUGAGUCUGAUAGAUGCUCCGUGUGCUCAGAAAACCAUGUUUAUGAGCCUACAAAACUGAGGAACGGAACUCGGACUGUGGUGAAUCCGUCACGUUAGAGAACAGCCUAUGAAAUCUCACAAUGAGCAACUGUCUCACCCCAAAUGUGAAAAAAAAAAAUCCCUACACCCCAAUUUUUUGUGUUUAUGUAAGGUCUUAGUCAUCACGGAAAGUCAUUGUUGCUGAGUGAAAAGUCAGAUGGUCUGAGUUUGCUACGUUUUAGCUCUAAUGAUUGUAAAUAGGUUAACUAAGAUCCUUGGAACUUGGUUUUCUCACCUUUAAGAGGAGGAGGAUGGUUUGUCCUUUCUCCUUCUCCCAGAGGUUAGGAAGACAGCGAGGACAGGGCAGAGCAGGGAGCGGCCAUCUCUUCCACAGCUACUUGCACCAGGGACUUGGUUCGAUGCUUCUCUUCUCUCCUCGAGCUCUCAGCAGCCUUUAGGGAGUGUUCCUUGAAAACUGGCUUUCUCUAGACUAGAUCAUCUGGAGGCAGGGCUAGGAUUUGAACAUCUGCCCGUCUGUCUCGGAAGCUCGGGCUCUCCCUCACUUCUUUCCUGACAAUCUGUGCACAGGGAUGAUGAAAAGCAGAUGUGUCCUGCAGGGCCAGCUACACCCAGACCCACGGCUCAGAGCGAGGGUUCCCCAACUCCUUCCUGUGCUCCUUUACCCAAGGCAGGGUUUAUUUCUGGAAGUUCCUGCCCAUUCCUGAGUCCCCGGGCCCUGCUAGGCAAGGCUGAUCUGUCCUUCCCGUGAAAUUUUCUGCUAUGUCUCUCCGAUUCCUCACUCACAGACAUUUAAUACCGAGUUUUUUCAGUUAUUAUUUCACAUGUGUCUUAUUUCCUCAGCUAGACUGAUAUUUCCUUUGGGUAAAAGAAACAUCUCUGUACUCCUCGAAGAUUCCAACACAAUGCCUUUAAAAACUUAGGUUUUCAGUGUGUUUUAGGUUGAUAGAUUUAUAAAAUAUUUUAAGACAAAAACCGAAAGGGUGGUUACGAAAAAGGUAUUCUAAUUCAUCUAUUUUAAAAAAAAAACAUAAAACAUUUAUUCCCAUCUAUAUUUUGGGUAAAAAAUGCAUUCCACUUUUAUUAUCCUUUUCUCAUACUGAAAAUGUGGUAACAUGAUGAAAAUAAAAAAGUAUGUUAUUACCUGGACAUAACCACUGUUACUAUUUUUUGUGUAUA